GAUGAACGCUGGCGGCGUGCCUAAUACAUGCAAGUCGAGCGAACAGACGAGGAGCUUGCUCCUCUGACGUUAGCGGCGGACGGGUGAGUAACACGUGGAUAACCUACCUAUAAGACUGGGAUAACUUCGGGAAACCGGAGCUAAUACCGGAUAAUAUAUUGAACCGCAUGGUUCAAUAGUGAAAGACGGUUUUGCUGUCACUUAUAGAUGGAUCCGCGCCGCAUUAGCUAGUUGGUAAGGUAACGGCUUACCAAGGCAACGAUGCAUAGCCGACCUGAGAGGGGGAUCGGCCACACUGGAACCUAGACACGGUCCAGGCUCCUACGGGAGGCCGCAGUAGGGAAUCUUCCGCAAUGGGCGGAAGCCUGACGGAGCAACGCCGCGUGAGUGAUGAAGGUCUUCGGAUCGUAAAACUCUGUUAUUAGGGAAAAACAAAUGUGUAAGUAACUAUGCACGUCUUGACGGUACCUAAUCAGAAAGCCACGGCUAACUACGUG
Molecule: ribosomal RNA, 497 nt
Filed under: uncultured bacterium
Lineage: Bacteria
Description: partial 16S ribosomal RNA
Rfam family: Bacterial small subunit ribosomal RNA
Source: RNAcentral